RNAcentral lists this ribosomal RNA (414 nucleotides) under uncultured microorganism. RNAcentral describes it as "bacterial SSU rRNA". It matches the Rfam family "Archaeal small subunit ribosomal RNA", at positions 459 to 872 of the family's 1478-position model. The record is from RNAcentral.
CAGCCGCCGCGGUAAUACCGGCGGCCCGAGUGGCGGCCACUAUUAUUGGGCUUAAAGCGUCCGUAGCCGGGUUGGUUAGUCUCCCGGGAAAUCUGGCCGCUUAACGGUCAGAAUUCCGGGAGAUACUGCCAGCCUAGGGACCGGGAGAGGCCGAGGGUAUUCCCGGAGUAGGGGUGAAAUCCUAUAAUCCCGGGAGGACCACCUGUGGCGAAGGCGCUCGGCUGGAACGGGUCCGACGGUGAGGGACGAAGGCCAGGGGAGCAAACCGGAUUAGAUACCCGGGUAGUCCUGGCGGUAAACGAUGCGGACUUUGUGUCGGACAAGCUAUGAGCUUGUCCGGUGCCGGAGGGAAGCCGUUAAGUCCGCCGCCUGGGGAGUACGGCCGCAAGGCUGAAACUUAAAGGAAUUGGCGGG